GAUGAACGCUGGCGGCGUGCCUAAUACAUGCAAGUCGAGCGAACGGACGAGAAGCUUGCUUUUCUGAUGUUAGCGGCGGACGGGUGAGUAACACGUGGAUAACCUACCUAUAAGACUGGGAUAACUUCGGGAAACCGGAGCUAAUACCGGAUAAUAUUUUGAACCGCAUGGUUCAAAAGUGAAAGACGGUCUUGCUGUCACUUAUAGAUGGAUCCGCGCUGCAUUAGCUAGUUGGUAAGGUAACGGCUUACCAAGGCAACGAUGCAUAGCCGACCUGAGAGGGUGAUCGGCCACACUGGAACUGAGACACGGUCCAGACUCCUACGGGAGGCAGCAGUAGGGAAUCUUGCGCAAUGGGCGAAAGCCUGACGGAGCAACGCCGCGUGAGUGAUGAAGGUCUUCGGAUCGUAAAGCUCUGUUAUUAGGGAAGAACAUAUGUGUAAGUAACUGUGCACAUCUUGACGGUACCUAAUCAGAAAGCCACGGCUAACUACGUG
This 497-nucleotide ribosomal RNA is filed under the name uncultured bacterium. Its description in RNAcentral is "partial 16S ribosomal RNA". It matches the Rfam family "Bacterial small subunit ribosomal RNA", at positions 28 to 507 of the family's 1533-position model. The record is from RNAcentral.